AGCAAGUGUCCCGCUCGGCGCUCAUGUGUUCUUACAGGAGGGAUUUCUAAAUCACCUGGCCAGGGCCUCGCAGACCCUCUAAAACAGAGCUCAGGAAGGUGGGAGAUGACAUCCCAAGGCCAGCAAGCCGGAAUCCCACUUGCCUGCUGAUGAAGACACACGGCUGCCAUUCAAAGACCAAACCCCAGGCCUGAUCUUCACCUCCACUGAUAGCAGCAGACUUCUUAGGGGCUUACCCAGUGAGGAUGAGCCUGGAAUCUGGCUCAGUGAGUUUCUGUACAAACCAAACUCUGCAGUAGCACCUCCCAGCUCUGCUUCUUGAGACAUCUGUCUGUACACAAAUAUCACAUUUCCUGUCUGUGCUACUCUGUUCCGUCUGGGAUCAAAAAUGGAGGCAUCCAAGAGCCAAAAAGAUAGCUGCUACUUGUGUUAUUUCCCAUCUGACCAGAAGCUGGAUGAUCGUGUACUCGAAAACACACAUGACAACGCCCGUUGUUGCAAGGUUUCCUGUCCCAUUUUGCAGACUCAGGAGGCUUAGAUAAUUCAGGUUUCACCGGAGCAGAGCAGAACAGUCAGAUGAAGGAGGAGCAGGUCUGAUGACACAAACGAAUGAACUUCUAUAUAAAACUUGAGGUAGAACAUUGCUUUCAAGGUUUGGAAGUGCUUGACAUCAGAAUGACGACGACACAAAAAAAAGGACAACACCAUGGCGGAUAUGGAGCAUGACUUCUGAGGUAGUACCAAGCUUAUGCAGACCAAGUGCUACGCUACUUGUUUUGAAAACAAAGGAAGACACAGAUAUUUGCUGCUUCC
Long non-coding RNA from Mauremys reevesii (Reeves's turtle), 813 nucleotides. RefSeq lists it as uncharacterized. The transcript has 4 exons. The record is from RefSeq and is a predicted model, not a curated record. Lineage: Eukaryota; Metazoa; Chordata; Testudines; Geoemydidae.